This 253-nucleotide ribosomal RNA is filed under the name uncultured bacterium. RNAcentral's name for it is "partial 16S ribosomal RNA". It matches the Rfam family "Bacterial small subunit ribosomal RNA", at positions 524 to 776 of the family's 1533-position model. The record is from RNAcentral.
UACGUAGGGAGCAAGCGUUGUCCGGAAUCAUUGGGCGUAAAGCGCGCGUAGGCGGCUCGAUCAGUCUGUUGUGAAAGUCAAAGGCUCAACCUUUGAAUGCCGAUGGAUACUGUCGAGCUAGAGUCCGGAAGAGGCGGGUGGAAUUCCUGGUGUAGCGGUGAAAUGCGCAGAUAUCAGGAAGAACACCCGUGGCGAAGGCGGCUCUCUGGGACGGUACUGACGCUGAGACGCGAAAGCGUGGGGAGCGAACAGG